RNAcentral lists this ribosomal RNA (253 nucleotides) under uncultured bacterium. RNAcentral describes it as "partial 16S ribosomal RNA". It matches the Rfam family "Bacterial small subunit ribosomal RNA", at positions 524 to 776 of the family's 1533-position model. The record is from RNAcentral.
UACGUAGGGCGCAAGCGUUAUCCGGAAUUAUUGGGCGUAAAGAGCUCGUAGGCGGUUUGUCGCGUCUGCCGUGAAAGUCCGGGGCUCAACUCCGGAUCUGCGGUGGGUACGGGCAGACUAGAGUGAUGUAGGGGAGACUGGAAUUCCUGGUGUAGCGGUGAAAUGCGCAGAUAUCAGGAGGAACACCGAUGGCGAAGGCAGGUCUCUGGGCAUUAACUGACGCUGAACUGCGAAAGCCAGGGGAGCGAACGGG